AUUCAGUGAAUCAUCGAAUCUUUGAACGCACAUUGCACUCUCUGGUAUUCCGGAGAGUAUGCUUGUUUGAGUAUCAGUAAACACCUCAAAUCUCUUUUUUAUUAAAGAGAAUUGGACUUGAGCAAUCCCAACUCUUUGCAAAAAGGGGCGGGUUGCUUGAAAUGCAGGUGCAGCUGGACAUUCUUCUGAGCUAAAAGCAUAUUUAUUUAGUCCCGUCAAACGGAUUAUUACUUUUGCUCUAGCUAAUAUAAAGGUCGAAUGUGCUAUAUGCUGACUGAUGCAGGAUUACCAAGUUUUACUAGCUAAAACUUGUAAACUCGAUCUCAAAUCAAGUAAGACUACCCGCUGAACUUAA
This 355-nucleotide small RNA is filed under the name uncultured fungus. Its description in RNAcentral is "eukaryotic LSU rRNA". The stretch from base 1 to 76 matches the Rfam family "5.8S ribosomal RNA", at positions 79 to 154 of the family's 154-position model. The record is from RNAcentral. Lineage: Eukaryota; Fungi.